GACGAACGCUGGCGGCGUGCCUAAUACAUGCAAGUUGAGCGAUGAAGAUUGGUGCUUGCACCAAUUUGAAGAGCAGCGAACGGGUGAGUAACGCGUGGGGAAUCUGCCUUUGAGCGGGGGACAACAUUUGGAAACGAAUGCUAAUACCGCAUAACAACUUUAAACAUAAGUUUAAGUUUGAAAGAUGCAAUUGCAUCACUCAAAGAUGAUCCCGCGUUGUAUUAGCUAGUUGGUGAGGUAAAGGCUCACCAAGGCGAUGAUACAUAGCCGACCUGAGAGGGUGAUCGGCCACAUUGGACUGAGACACGGCCCAAACUCCUACGGGAGGCAGCAGU
RNAcentral lists this ribosomal RNA (335 nucleotides) under uncultured bacterium. RNAcentral's name for it is "bacterial SSU rRNA". It matches the Rfam family "Bacterial small subunit ribosomal RNA", at positions 28 to 355 of the family's 1533-position model. The record is from RNAcentral.